GUAGUCUGCAACCCGACUACAUGAAGCUGGAAUCGCUAGUAAUCGCGGAUCAGAAUGCCGCGGUGAAUACGUUCCCGGGUCUUGUACACACCGCCCGUCACACCAUGGGAGUCGGAAAUGCCCGAAGCCGGUGACUCAACCUUUAAGGAGAGAGCCGUCGAAGGCAGGUCUGAUAACUGGGGUGAAGUCGUAACAAGGUAUC
Molecule: ribosomal RNA, 202 nt
Filed under: uncultured bacterium
Lineage: Bacteria
Description: partial 16S ribosomal RNA
Rfam family: Bacterial small subunit ribosomal RNA
Source: RNAcentral